RNAcentral lists this ribosomal RNA (496 nucleotides) under uncultured bacterium. RNAcentral's name for it is "partial 16S ribosomal RNA". It matches the Rfam family "Bacterial small subunit ribosomal RNA", at positions 29 to 507 of the family's 1533-position model. The record is from RNAcentral.
AUGAACGCUGGCGGCGUGCCUAAUACAUGCAAGUCGAGCGAACAGACGAGGAGCUUGCUCCUUUGAUGUUAGCGGCGGACGGGUGAGUAACACGUAGGUAACCUACCUAUAAGACUGGGAUAACUUCGGGAAACCGGAGCUAAUACCGGAUAAUAUUUCGAACCGCAUGGUUCGAUAGUGAAAGAUGGCUUUGCUAUCACUUAUAGAUGGACCUGCGCCGUAUUAGCUAGUUGGUAAGGUAACGGCUUACCAAGGCAACGAUACGUAGCCGACCUGAGAGGGUGAUCGGCCACACUGGAACUGAGACACGGUCCAGACUCCUACGGGAGGCAGCAGUAGGGAAUCUUCCGCAAUGGGCGAAAGCCUGACGGAGCAACGCCGCGUGAGUGAUGAAGGUCUUCGGAUCGUAAAACUCUGUUAUUAGGGAAGAACAAACGUGUAAGUAACUGUGCACGUCUUGACGGUACCUAAUCAGAAAGCCACGGCUAACUACGUG